RNAcentral lists this ribosomal RNA (433 nucleotides) under uncultured bacterium. Its description in RNAcentral is "partial 16S ribosomal RNA". It matches the Rfam family "Bacterial small subunit ribosomal RNA", at positions 29 to 507 of the family's 1533-position model. The record is from RNAcentral.
AACGAACGCUGGCGGCAGGCCUAACACAUGCAAGUCGAGCGAGGACUUCGGUUCUAGCGGCGGACGGGUGAGUAACGCGUGGGAAUGUGCCCUUCUCUACGGAAUAGCCCUGGGAAACUGGGAGUAAUACCGUAUACGCCCUUUUGGGGAAAGAUUUAUCGGAGAAGGAUCAGCCCGCGUUGGAUUAGGUAGUUGGUGGGGUAAUGGCCUACCAAGCCGACGAUCCAUAGCUGGUUUGAGAGGAUGAUCAGCCACACUGGGACUGAGACACGGCCCAGACUCCUACGGGAGGCAGCAGUGGGGAAUCUUAGACAAUGGGGGCAACCCUGAUCUGGCCAUGCCGCGUGAGUGAUGAAGGCCUUAGGGUUGUAAAGCUCUUUCAGCUGGGAAGAUAAUGACGGUACCAGCAGAAGAAGCCCCGGCUAACUCCGUG